UGCUGUGGAGGGCUCUGUCCUAACUUAUUUUCUUGAUUCUCUCCUUGGUCUUUUCUUUCAAUUUUAUUUUCUGUGGUGGAGGGUUAAUGCACUGUUUUGUUUUAGCGGUACCCACUGUUUUUUCAAAGGGUGGAAGAGGACAGAGUUUUAGUUUCCUGGGGUUUGGAAGGUGUGGUGUGCGUGAUGACUUCUCAGCCUCGCGCGGAGGAGACUGUCGACACGGCAUGGAUUCAGGUGUGUUCCUGAGAAUGGAGUUAAGGUGGAGGAGGUUCUGCUCGCUGUCGGUGAACAGCUGUCCUUCCUCUCUCUCCUUGGCUGCUAAGUGUGUGACUAUGAGUGAAUUGGCUCGGCCCUCCCUCACGCAUCUUUGGUUCAUUGGUUGACACUGCGUGUCUGAUUGACAGAAACAACAGAUUUGUCUCUUCUGAUAUGCGAGUUGGCUCCCAACGUUCACCUACAAGAGCCGGCUCUUCGCAAACGACCCAUCACUACAAGACUUCUAUUCUACUGAAUGGAAACUACAAGUGUUAUUGCUGUGCUCAAUGUCAU
Oncorhynchus tshawytscha (Chinook salmon) is the source of this 549-nucleotide long non-coding RNA. The record is from Ensembl. Lineage: Eukaryota; Metazoa; Chordata; Actinopteri; Salmoniformes; Salmonidae.